This 4815-nucleotide long non-coding RNA is filed under the name Sus scrofa (pig). Its description in RNAcentral is "lncRNA (ENSSSCG00050067409.1)". Lineage: Eukaryota; Metazoa; Chordata; Mammalia; Artiodactyla; Suidae. The record is from RNAcentral.
AAGUGCUCUAGUUUUAGAAUCUAAACUUAGGCCUGUAAUCCACUUUGAGUUAAUUUUUGUAUUUGGUCCAAGGUAUGGGUCGAAGCUCCUGUUUUUCUCAUGGUUAAUUGUUCCAUUACGAUCGCUGAAAAGACUGUCCUUUCUCCACUGAACUGCCUUUGCGGCUUAGUCAGAAAUCAACUGACCACGUGUAUGGGGUCCACCCUGUCCUAUUGAUCGACGCAUCUAUCCUCUUGCAAUACCACACUGUCUUGAUUAUUGCAGCUUCAUAGGAAGCCUUGAAAAUCAGGCAAUGCGACCUUCUAGCUUUGUUCUUUUUCAGAACUGAGUGGGUUUUUCCAGGUCCUUUGCAUUUCCAUGGAACCUUACAAUCAGCUUGACUGUAUUUUGACUAGGAUGGCGCGAAAUUCAUAAAUCAAUUUGGGGAAAGGAGGCGCAUCGUAACAACAUUAAGUCUCCGGAUGCGCAGUACAGCCUGUCAUUUCUGCAGGUUGCCUCUCGCUUCUCUCAGCAGUGUUUAGCAGCUCUCACGGCAGAAGCUUUACACACACUUAUCUAGCUUCAUUCUAAGGUAUCUGAUGUCUCCGAAGCUAUGGUAAAUGGUACUGAUUUUUAAAUGUCCUUUUUUUCUUAAUAGUUAGAAAUACAACUGACCUUGUAUCCUAUAGCCCUGCUGAAUUCUCUCAUUCUUUCAUGUGCAUAUAUAUGUGUGUGUGUGUAUAUAUAUAUAUAUGCAAAUCCACAGGAUUUGUCAUAAUCAAGUUGUUUGCAAAUACAGGUUAAAUUCUGGAGUUUGAUUACCUUGUCUGAAACUGCCAAGGAGAGGUGCUUCACAAUGAUUACAAAGUUUUCCAAAUUUCAGGGUGGAAAAAAACACACACCUUGGAGAAAAUUCAUGUUAACUGCACAAGCUGAGCUGGCACAAGGAUAACUCCGUUCUCCUGCCUUCCCUGUUAGAGCGACGCUCCCGCGCCCAGGAGGACGGGAGGCUGGCUCGCUGGGUGGCCGUCAGACGCCAUCGGGGAAUCUGGGCGGCAGUGAUAACUGGCACAGCUUCAAAGCCAUCCCCUCCACACACCACCCUCCUCCUGUGUUGGCCGUGCUGGCAACAAGCCUGGACGAGGCCGGCCUCCCGGGAGUGAAGCUCACAGCACCUCCACCCUCUAUUACCCAGAUACUUCCCAUAAGCUUCUGGGCACUGGACGUCUCUGGGCCUGGUGGCCACACUCUGACUGUUCACAUGUGAUUUUUCAAAGAGCUCCAAGGAGCGGGCCUGUGAAUAGCAUCUCUUCCACCAGCCCAAGAGCCACGUGACACGGUCUCAAGCACACGUAACCGACAACCCAGCGAUAACAAACACACAGCAGUGUUCACGAGGUGAAACUAAGGGCCCUGCUUGAACACGGAGGCAGCCCCAAGUUCACCACGUUUACGCCUCGAUGCCUGAAGUUCACGGAAAUGAGGAAACAGAUCGGCUGACCAAAGACUUGACAAGGGAUUGGGUUUUCAAUGUAUUUCUGCCACCGUCUGACCUUUUUCCCCUCCUGCAACCUUAUAUAAUUUGACUGAAGUGCUGGGCUGCGUCUGUGGUGUCAACGGCUAGGAUCUGUCCAAAGUUAAUUAGUGCCUCCAUCAUAGGAGUCAAGUCAUUAUUUAUCACGCUAGGGUUCCUGCCCAAUCGUUUCAGACGUGAUUUCUUUACUAGGAGGCAGGGAGACUCGAUAUGGGUGUGUUAUAUGUAUAUAUAUAAUUUUUUAACGGAGAAAUAACUCUCGAGCCCUCCGCUGCCGUUCUAUCAAACGCAAGGCAAGUGAUUGCUGAGUUCCCAAUUAUGUUCAACCUUAAAUCACGCUGUUUGGUCUGGUUGUAUAUCCAGCCCUUCAGGGAUUUGUGCAAAGGCAUAGAUUUGGCAAGCUUUCAAACCACGGCUACAAAACAUGUGCUGAAGAAAAUGAUUCAAAAUAUUAAGAAAGCAGUCGUUUAUUUUAGAAAGCCUGUUCACGUGAGACAAUAAGCUGCUUCCCAGAAUAGGUUCCAUCCAUCAGGAAAAUGCACUGGCUGGAGCUUGCCUCUCAGCUGCCAUUCUGCAGCACUUCCUAUUUAUUACCCAGGGUCCAUCUACGAUGGACAAGGGGCCGGGCACCCUGGCACGGUGGUAGCUGGGCAAGCCCUCCCCAACCCUGAAGAAGCACCCCAGGCACAGAUGAGGUGCUGGGCCCUAGAGGCCUACCGGUUUCCCCUACGGAUGCCCAGGAGGGUGCGUGGUGGCACACAUGCAGAGGAAAGGAACAGAAAGCCGGAGCGUCCUGGGCUGGGCCUGGACCAACUCUCGCUCCGUGGAAAGUCAGCAGCUCAAACAGAACCAACCAGGGUCUCUGUGUCAACCAGGCAGCUGUUGUCAACCAGGAGGCCUGCUCUGUGCCCAGAGGCCAGUGAUCCCUCGGGAGGGUCAGGCUGGCAGGGCCAGUCAAGCAUGGCCAAUUGAAGCAAAGGAAAUUCCCACUGGAGAUGAGAUGCUGGAAAAUCUCUUCCUGGUAUCUCUCUUGAACCCUUGACACCUGCUGAACCACCCUGAGGGGCCAAGUCCCAAGCCAUUUCCGCCAGAAGAACUAUUCCCGGUGGCUGCUCAUUCCCCACUGUCUCUAAGCCUUAACGUAUCUGCCCGGAAGGUAGAGUUUACAUGGCCUCCGUCCAUCACCACAACCUGAGGAAUAGGCAACAGAUGAACCCAGUGAAAGUAUCCAUCAUAAGUAGCCUCAUCGAAGCCAGAACACACUCAAAUUUAACAAAUAUUUCAUUUCUCAACCAACUUUAAGAAAUGUCUAAUGAGCCAGCCACAGUACUAAGACCAGCAAUAGAAAACUGCAUUUUAUUAACUGAACCACUGGAGUCUCAACCUUCCCAAAGGCAACAACUUUGAAUUGGUGGGUUUUUUGUUUGUUUGUUUUUUCACAUACCACUAAGCACAGCAUCUGCAGUGAAGAGGAAAGGUAUGGACUAGUGGUUAACCAGAAAUUUCUGCAAACAGCCAAGAGAGGACAUACAGGAAAAAAAAACAAACAAGCAGCUUGUGAGCAGGAGAUCAUUUGGGUUCUUUAAAGGCUGAGCGAUGAGGGAGGAGAAACGGUGCUUUUCCCUAGCUGGCAUCCAAGCCAGUGACACAACAGGUGUGUCCAUCCAGAGGGCCGACCUUACUUCUUCAAGCUGGAUCUGAGGGCCUGGUCUGUGUCAUUUUCAAAUAAUAACAGGAACUUGGAGUUCCCCUUGUGGGUCAGCAGUAAUGAACCCAACUACCAUCCACGAGGACACGGGUUCGAUCCCUGGCCUCGCUCAGUGGGUUAAGGAUCUGGCGUUGCCGUGAGCUGCAGAGUAGGUCACAGACGCACCUCAAAUCCUGAGUUGCCGUGGCUGCGGUGUGGGCCGGUGGCUGUAGCUCCGAUUCGACCCCUAGCCUGGGAAGUCCCCUAUACAGCUCUCCGGAGUUCUACCCCCAGUCCCCGGCCAGCACACUUGAGACCAAAGUCAGCGCUUCGACAGGCAGCGGGGUUGGGGGGGGGGAUGUGUUUGAGAUUCAGUGAAUUGGAAACAGGAUUCUCUUCUCCCUAAGAAGUUGAACAUCAAGGGCUUAAUUAACGACUCAGCAUCGUCACCAACUUUCUAGGUAUCAAGAGACUUAACAGCAUUUUCCUCCUAAAAAUCUAAGCUGUCACUGGGAGAAAAACCAAGAAAGCUAAAAGCUACCCACCAAGGUUCGGAUUUCUGCAAAUACGGGUCUCUCGGUAGACUUGCCCCCUCCCCCGGAUGACGGUAAAGAUAGAACAUGCCCCCGUCCUGCUCAAGAGGAAGAUGCCCCAGGAGAAAUCAGAGGAAGGGAGGCCUGGCUCGCAGCUGGACCAAGGGAGUUCAAGUGCAGUCUCUGGCAAGGGCAGCAGAGCUGUCCAGUCCCGCUGCCCCGGCAGAGAGGCAAACCGCACUGGUGGGCUCCUGCUGAGAGCCAAGGGCACUGGCAACGCUGACUCUUCACCUGGGCCCUGGGGCGUCGGGCAGGUGGAGAACCACAGUCACAUCCGUCCGGGGACACAGGCGGACUCUGCGGAAGUGCUGCCGUUCUGUGACUCCCCAUCGUGCACUUUUGAGGCCUAAGGGCAAGGUUUGGAGCAGCUUCUCCAGGCCACCGGGGGACGAGGGCUUCGGGACGGCCCUUCCAGAUGCCCAGUGAAACCAGGUCAGCACUCCCCUUGGGUACCAGUGAGCUUCCUCUCCUGUAACCAUGGUUAUCAGUGACGCUCUGUGCGCUUGGACACAGCGGAGGAGACAGGGUCACUGCCCUAAAAGAGCUUGCACUCCAGUGGGGGGGGCGGCGAGGAGAAGAAGCAAACACUGCAGACGGUGAUAAGUGCUCUCCUAACCCACAGAGGCUGCCACAGGAUCAAGCAAUGGGGGGCUCUGCUGGGUUGGGGUAUCCGGGGAGGGCCUCUUGGGAGCAGUGACAUGUGAGUGGCACUGGGGGUGAGGGGAGCUCAUCCGUGUAGAGGAAACAGCCAGUGCAAGGGGAACAUGCGUGGUGUGCUCGGGGCCGAGAGCGUCAGGGUGCCCGGGAGGAAGAAGGGACGGGACCGUGCAGGCGGCCGGCAAGCAGACGGGUGCCAGCUCACUGGGGGUUCCAGCAAGCUGGUGACCACAUCCCAGGUAUGAUCUGAAUAGCUCGCCCCAGCCCCUCACUGGGAGCCAGAAUGGAGACCAGGGGUCCACCGGGGAAAAGGCGACGGAUGACCAGGCAAAGGAAACGAGGGGACCGUGGAGACGGGCGAAGUG